CUGCCCUGACGGCCACUCGGCCUGGCCGUCCACAUGGUCACACCUCCCGCCCUCCCUUGGCAGUGGGUGAGUCCCGCCUACGGCUCUGCCUUCCGGGGUCCGUGCGUCCCGUGGUGCUCAGGCUUCCGAGGCAGUGGCCACGUUUCCCACCGGAAGGUCUGCCCUGCAGAAGGAGCCAUCACGGAGCCCUCCCAGGUGUGGAGUCCCCACCAGUGUCUUUCUCCCAGCUGUGGUGACAGCCUUGUCCCCAGGCCCCUGCUGGGGUGGCUGGCAGGUCUAACAACAGGUCCAGCCUGACACUGCAGCCUCCCGAGGCCUCUGGAUCCUUCCCUCCAGUUACACCAAGGCAGGUGCGCCAUUUCCAGCCCUCUGACUGGGCCACCAUGGGGCCUGUGUUCCAGGCAGCCAGACAAGCAGCUCACACCCCUCCUGCCCCCCGAGCUGCGGCCUUCGGCACAGGAGCUCUGUGUAGCGAGCCCACUUCCAAAGUCAGCCCAAUGCUGCGCUCUGUUCCUCUGUUACCCACACCCUUAAUAUCCACCCCGCAUGCUCACCCUGGGCCCUGAUCCCUGGAACUGCUAGAGCUCCAAGACGAACGCUACUCCCCGUGCCUGAUUCCUGGGUCAGCCUUUGCCUGCCGUGGACCGUGUGUGCUCCAGCAUGCGGAUGAGCUGCUCCGAGCUGCACGGUACAAAAGAGCCAUGACUUUUGUUGCCCUAAAAAUGAAUUCACGGAACGAAGACAGUGCGGGAAGCAGGUGUCCUCUGACGCACCGGGCCACCCACCGUCCCAAGCCCAGCCCGCCUUCCCUUCUCCGUGGCCUCCCUUGCAGUGGAGGAUUGGAGGGAGCCAGUCGCUGAGCCUGCCUCUGCGCACAUCCAGCUGCCACCUCACGUUCCCCCUCACCCUGGCUGAAUCCCAGGCCUUGGUUUGCAGAUGCUGCUCCCGUCCUCCCUCCCCCAGCCCAGAAGAUUCCCGCUGGGAAGGGAAGGGCGGAGAGGCCAGCAGUGUCCCCUCAGGGGAGUCCCACCCUCUGCAGGUGAUUCCCUGGUGGUCACGGGAGUCACUGGGUCCCUCCGUCCCUGCUCCACCCUCAGCCCCUUGAGAGGAGAGAGGCCUGGGGGUCACCAUCUCCCCCGCCCUCCUGCUGUCAGCUGGGGUUCCUGCCCGUCCUUCCCAGUGGCUCCUCCGAGGAAGUGGAUGUGGCAACCUCCCCCCGGGCCUUGGGAACAGGAAGCCAAACUUGCCGUGAAAUUCUCUCCCGUCACUCAACUGCUUCCCCCUCCUGCCCGGUGUGAACAACUCAGCAAGGCCCCACCCUCAGGAGAGAAAGCACAGGAGAUGCUGGAGUGCUGUGAAGGAGACUGGGGAUCUGAGCUGAGCGGGGAUGUUCUGCUCCGUGCAAUGCCAGUGCUGACCGGCAGCCACUGGGGAGAACAGGCCCCCCCUGGAAGGCGCUCCAACUCACAUGAUUUAUGAGGCGCCCUCAGUGUGAGCUGGAACAGCUUGCUCCUUGACACUAAAUAAAACCAAAAGCGGUACGGGAGUGCGGUGUCUGUGAGUGCCUCGUGUAUACAAAUGACCAUCAUAAAUCUUUCUGUUCUGUGAUGCAUCUUUGAGGAGUUUGGCUGAGAAGCCAGAGCUAGAGAGAACGCCAGGAGGGAGAGGAAGCAGAGUCCAAAUGUCCUGUGUGUCUGCGUGGGUCCUGGGGGGUGGGUGCUGUCCUGCAGGAGACGGGGUCUCUGUUGCCCUCCCACUCCCCACUCCUGCUGUUCGCAGCUCCUGAAUGGCACAAAGCAAGCCUGUCUGUGCGGAGCAUUGCCGCCGGCCAAGGCGUUCGGCCUGAAAAAGUUCUUGCAAAGCCCAGUGCAGGUCCCUCUGUAACAGUCUAGAAGGCCACUUCUUAGAACAAAGAAACCACCCCUGGUGUUCGGGCCUGACUGGGUUUUGUGUUAAUAGGGAAGAUUUUGUCAGCGGCAGCAGAGAUCCAGCGCAAACCAGCCUAACCAAAGGAGGAAAGAUGCUGAUUUAUAGAACCAGGACUUGUGUAAUAAGUCAAGGGCCUCGGGCACAGCUGGAUCCAGGAGUUAAAUGAAGUCAUUGUGAUCCUUCUGUGGGUGCGUGUGGCUGACUCUCCCCAUUCUCAGUGGCCACACUCUACAGCGUCACCACCACAUGGGCAAUGCUGAGCCUCUGGUCCUUAGGGAAACAGGGUCAGAUUCCUUUGAGCCUCUGGUCACCACAUUUUCACCACCCAUCAGUCUGUCACCUUGGUCUAUGUCUAUUUCUGCUUAAAGACACUGUAUUUAGUGUAUAGAGUUGAUUCAUUUACAUUGAACUCACGGCCAACAGCCCACACAGGCCUGAGCAACGCUUCUCCAUCGCAUGUCACAGCUCCUUCACUCAGGAUCACUGGACAGAACCUCAGCUCUGUUCCUGAGGCCACUUUAAGCGGCAACAUCACCAACAAGAGCACAAAAAUGCGAACGACGUGACGCUAAAGAGAAAAGGAUGCACAUUUACUCCGAGAGCAGACACAAGAAGGCGGUGCGGCCUCGCUCCCUUCCCGCCAGGGACGCGCAUGGCGACGCGGCUUCCUGAAGCUCUGUGCACGCCUGUGAAUGACCAGGAAAGACCCAGGUACUGACCUGGGGAUUACGAAUACGUUUUAGCAAGUAAGCGGACGUGUCUGCGUCUCUGCCCGCCCCCCUCCCU
RNAcentral lists this long non-coding RNA (2715 nucleotides) under Rhinopithecus bieti (black snub-nosed monkey). RNAcentral's name for it is "lncRNA (ENSRBIG00000045102.1)". The record is from RNAcentral. Lineage: Eukaryota; Metazoa; Chordata; Mammalia; Primates; Cercopithecidae.